Molecule: ribosomal RNA, 373 nt
Filed under: uncultured bacterium
Lineage: Bacteria
Description: bacterial SSU rRNA
Rfam family: Bacterial small subunit ribosomal RNA
Source: RNAcentral
UAAUACGGAGGGUGCAAGCGUUAUCCGGAUUCACUGGGUUUAAAGGGUGCGUAGGCGGGUUGGUAAGUCAGUGGUGAAAUCUUCAAGCUUAACUUGGAAACUGCCGUUGAUACUAUCAAUCUUGAAUAUUGUGGAGGUAAGCGGAAUAUGUCAUGUAGCGGUGAAAUGCUUAGAUAUGACAUAGAACACCGAUAGCGAAGGCAGCUUGCUACACAAUAAUUGACGCUGAGGCACGAAAGCGUGGGGAUCAAACAGGAUUAGAUACCCUGGUAGUCCACGCCCUAAACGAUGGAUACUCGACAUACGCGAUACACAGUGUGUGUCUGAGCGAAAGCAUUAAGUAUCCCACCUGGGAAGUACGACCGCAAGGUUG